RNAcentral lists this ribosomal RNA (445 nucleotides) under uncultured bacterium. Its description in RNAcentral is "bacterial SSU rRNA". It matches the Rfam family "Bacterial small subunit ribosomal RNA", at positions 354 to 796 of the family's 1533-position model. The record is from RNAcentral.
GUGAGGAAUAUUGCGCAAUGGAGGCAACUCUGACGCAGCCAUGCCGCGUGCAGGAAGAAGGCGCUACGCGUUGUAAACUGCUUUUAACCGGGAAGAAACCCCAGGACGUGUCCUGGGUUGACGGUACCGGAGGAAUAAGCACCGGCUAACUUCGUGCCAGCAGCCGCGGUAAUACGAAGGGUGCAAGCGUUAUCCGGAUUCAUUGGGUUUAAAGGGUGCGUAGGCGGAGCGUUAAGUCAGUGGUGAAAUCCUGCAGCUUAACUGUAGACUUGCCAUUGAUACUGGCGCUCUUGAGUGCGCUUGAAGUGGGCGGAAUGUGCCGUGUAGCGGUGAAAUGCUUAGAUAUGGCACAGAACACCAAUUGCGAAGGCAGCUCACUAAGGCGAUACUGACGCUGAGGCACGAAAGCGUGGGGAUCGAACAGGAUUAGAAACCCUGGUAGUCC